RNAcentral lists this transfer RNA (73 nucleotides) under uncultured bacterium. RNAcentral's name for it is "tRNA-Thr". It matches the Rfam family "tRNA". Rfam says of the family: Transfer RNA (tRNA) molecules are approximately 80 nucleotides in length. Their secondary structure includes four short double-helical elements and three loops (D, anti-codon, and T loops). Further hydrogen bonds mediate the characteristic L-shaped molecular structure. tRNAs have two regions of fundamental functional importance: the anti-codon, which is responsible for specific mRNA codon recognition, and the 3' end, to which the tRNAs corresponding amino acid is attached (by aminoacyl-tRNA synthetases). tRNAs cope with the degeneracy of the genetic code in two manners: having more than one tRNA (with a specific anti-codon) for a particular amino acid; and 'wobble' base-pairing, i.e. permitting non-standard base-pairing at the 3rd anti-codon position. The record is from RNAcentral.
GCCGUGUUAGCUCAGUUGGUAGAGCGGCUGUUUUGUAAACAGUUGGUCAUCUGUUCGAAUCGGAUAUGCGGCA